UACGUAGGGUGCAAGCGUUAUCCGGAAUUAUUGGGCGUAAAGAGCUCGUAGGCGGUUUGUCGCGUCUGCUGUGAAAACCCGAGGCUCAACCUCGGGCCUGCAGUGGGUACGGGCAGACUAGAGUGUGGUAGGGGAGACUGGAAUUCCUGGUGUAGCGGUGAAAUGCGCAGAUAUCAGGAGGAACACCGAUGGCGAAGGCAGGUCUCUGGGCCACUACUGACGCUGAGAAGCGAAAGCAUGGGGAGCGAACAGG
Molecule: ribosomal RNA, 253 nt
Filed under: uncultured bacterium
Lineage: Bacteria
Description: partial 16S ribosomal RNA
Rfam family: Bacterial small subunit ribosomal RNA
Source: RNAcentral